GCAGUAUUAUCUCAGGGCAACAGUCUGACAAUAUAUACAUAGAGUCUUCUCAGGCUUGAGGCAUCACUGGCUUCAUGUUCAAUUUUACUAAUACAUUCAAGGGUAGGAUCAAAAACUUAUAUACAAUUUUUCUAGCUCUACUAGCAAUUCAAGUAAAAAUUUUAGAUUUAAGAAAGUCAUGGAAGAAAAAUCUUUCAAGGUGCAACUUUUAAAGCAAAACUCUAUUACAUGUACUUUCAAGAUGUUAGUGAUGCCUACUGCACAGAAAUCCUACUUUAGGUCACUGGCAAUCUCAUGGAUACAAUGAAAAAGAUAAAAAAAGUGCUAAGAAAUUGAUGUCUUUCUGCUUGAAGUUUCCUGGAGGGUGAUAGCUGGGAAAGCUCUU
RNAcentral lists this long non-coding RNA (385 nucleotides) under Bos taurus (domestic cattle). RNAcentral describes it as "long non-coding RNA NONBTAT009091". The record is from RNAcentral. Lineage: Eukaryota; Metazoa; Chordata; Mammalia; Artiodactyla; Bovidae.